Molecule: long non-coding RNA, 282 nt
Organism: Sebastes umbrosus (honeycomb rockfish)
Lineage: Eukaryota; Metazoa; Chordata; Actinopteri; Perciformes; Sebastidae
Exons: 3
Source: RefSeq, a predicted model, not a curated record
GCUCAGUGAACUACAUCUCUGGACCCGCAGAAUAUACGUCACCAACACUAGCUAGCUAGCUAACUUUGCUGUGUUCCACGCACAAAUGAAACAUUAGCUUACUUGAUGUGUUUUAUCCAGCGACUACUGGUCUUUUAAUCAGCCGGGAAGUGAAAGAACGAUCAGACCCGUUCCUGGUGUGAGUUCAUCCCCGUACGAAACACACAGGCAUCGUAGCUUCAGCGAAAGAGAUGUCACUUACAUGACUUUUGGGUGUGUAUUCUGCCUCAUUACAUACUGUAU